This 529-nucleotide ribosomal RNA is filed under the name Megophrys sp. 14 JMC-2016. RNAcentral's name for it is "partial 16S ribosomal RNA". It matches the Rfam family "Bacterial large subunit ribosomal RNA", at positions 1857 to 2597 of the family's 2925-position model. Lineage: Eukaryota; Metazoa; Chordata; Amphibia; Anura; Megophryidae. The record is from RNAcentral.
GCCUGCCCAGUGACCAUGUGUUCAACGGCCGCGGUAUUCUGACCGCGCGAAGGUAGCGUAAUCACUUGUCUUCUAAAUAAAGACUAGUAUGAACGGCCACACGAAGACUUAACUGUCUCCCCUGUCCAAUCAGUGAAACUGAUCUCCUUGUGCAGAAGCGAGGAUGAAUCCAUAAGACGAGAAGACCCUAUGGAGCUUUAAACUUAAUAUUAACUAUUCCUAUAAUCCCCUCUAAGGAAUUAACAAAUAACCCUUUUAACUUAAUAUUAGUUUUAGGUUGGGGCGACCAUGGAGAAAAAAAUAUCCUCCCUGAUGACUUUUAAACCAAGAGCUACAGCUCUAAGUAUUAAGAUACUUAACUUCCAUUGACCCAUUUUAUGAUCAACGAACCAAGUUACCCUAGGGAUAACAGCGCAAUCCAUUUCAAGAGUCCCUAUCGACAAAUGGGUUUACGACCUCGAUGUUGGAUCAGGGCAUCCCAGUGGUGCAACCGCUACUAAAGGUUCGUUUGUUCAACGAUUAAAGCCCU